AGUGAACGCUGGCGGUAGGCCUAACACAUGCAAGUCGAACGGCAGCACAGUAAGAGUUUGCUCUUACGGGUGGCGAGUGGCGGACGGGUGAGGAAUACAUCGGAAUCUACUUUUUCGUGGGGGAUAACGAAGGGAAACUUACGCUAAUACCGCAUACGACCUACGGGUGAAAGCAGGGGAUCUUCGGACCUUGCGCGAUUGAAUGAGCCGAUGUCGGAUUAGUUAGUUGGCGGGGUAAAGGCCCACAAAGGCGACGAUCCGUAGCUGGUCUGAGAGGAUGAUCAGCCACACUGGAACUGAGACACGCUCCAGACUCCUACGGGAGGCAGCAGUGGGGAAUAUUGGACAAUGGGCGCAAGCCUGAUCCAGCCAUACCGCGUGGGUGAAGAAGGCCUUCGGGUUGUAAAGCCCUUUUGUUGGGAAAGAAAAGCAGCAGGUUAAUACCCCGCUGUUCUGACGGUACCCGAAGAAUAAGCACCGGCUAACUUCGUG
Molecule: ribosomal RNA, 492 nt
Filed under: uncultured bacterium
Lineage: Bacteria
Description: partial 16S ribosomal RNA
Rfam family: Bacterial small subunit ribosomal RNA
Source: RNAcentral